GCCGGGUGUGGUGGCGGGCACCUGUAAUCCCAGCUACUCAGGAGGCUGAGGCAGGAGAAUUACUUGAACCCAGGAGACAGAGGUUGCAGUGAGCCGAGAUCGUGCCACUGCACUCCAGCCUGGGCGACAGAGUAAGACUCUGCCUCAA
This 148-nucleotide small RNA is filed under the name Macaca mulatta (Rhesus monkey). Its description in RNAcentral is "Metazoan signal recognition particle RNA (ENSMMUG00000053783.1)". It matches the Rfam family "Metazoan signal recognition particle RNA". From Rfam's summary of the family: The signal recognition particle (SRP) is a universally conserved ribonucleoprotein. It is involved in the co-translational targeting of proteins to membranes. The eukaryotic SRP consists of a 300-nucleotide 7S RNA and six proteins: SRPs 72, 68, 54, 19, 14, and 9. The record is from Rfam by way of RNAcentral. Lineage: Eukaryota; Metazoa; Chordata; Mammalia; Primates; Cercopithecidae.